CUAUCAUAAUAUCACAUCAAAUACUUUGGUAAUUCUGGAAGCCAUGGCAGUACAUGGUGUUAAAACUCUUAUUUACUCAAUACAUGUGCAAUUUAUGGGGAACCGGAAAAAAUGCCUAUUACAGAAGUAACUCCUCAGCAUCCUAUCAACCCAUAUGGGAAGGCCAAAAAGAUGGCGGAGGAUAUUAUUUUGGACUUCUCAAAGAGAUCAGACAUGGCAGUCAUGAUCUUAAGAUCCUGAAGGAAGGUUAGGUGA
Zingiber officinale is the source of this 255-nucleotide long non-coding RNA. RefSeq lists it as uncharacterized. NCBI's taxonomy places the organism in Eukaryota, Viridiplantae, Streptophyta, Magnoliopsida, Zingiberales, Zingiberaceae. The record is from RefSeq and is a predicted model, not a curated record. The transcript is spliced from 3 exons.